GAUGCCAUAAUCUUACUUAAAGUUAGUCAAAGAGUAUCUAUAAUUUGACUAGGAAAGUCUUAUGAAAAGAUUAUAAAAAUCGGAUCUACCUUUUUUAAUAAUGUAAUGAAAAGAUUGUCAUGUGGAAACACAUCAAUACGAUGCUGUUUUAACAUCUUAGGUGGUUCCCUAGUUAAUUAAAUGGUCCGUCACUUGCCCCAAAACCAACUAGUCUAACCUUCUGUCUUUGAAAGAGAGUUCUGAUCUACGACCCAUCUCCUUCGUACCCGAGCCUGAAAUUUAUCUUCCGGACCCGAGCCUCGGAUUUGCUCCUGCGUCCGCCGUUGAAAAUUUUCGUACUCCCUUCGAUCACUUAUCUC
Long non-coding RNA from Arabidopsis thaliana (thale cress), 359 nucleotides. RefSeq annotates it as other RNA. The record is from RefSeq. NCBI's taxonomy places the organism in Eukaryota, Viridiplantae, Streptophyta, Magnoliopsida, Brassicales, Brassicaceae. The transcript has a single exon.